UAAAGAGACUUAACUCAUGAAGACAAACUGAAGACAAACCAAGGGAAGCAUGAAUAAAUAGAUUUGUAAAAUAAAGCCACUGGGACUAGUCUGGUAAAAUGAAUGUUGAGACAAAAGAAGGCAAAUUAACAGUUCUGUAGUAAAGAACGAGUUACUCAAUGGCAUAGUCUACAUGAUAUUAAUCUGUAAUUAUAGGUUUUAAUAUGAUAUCUCACAGAAUAACCUAAACUGGCAGAGGCCAAAUUAGAAUAACAAGAGUUGAUUAAUGAAUAGUCUCCAUGAAAUUUUUAUAUUGUAAACUAAUUGAAUAUAAGAGCAUGUUGGGUAAAAUUGAUUUCCUUUCUUUGAACUUCUGAGCAAUGAUUUCAUGUGCCAGUCAUUUUAAAUAUAUCGGACUUUUUGAUUCUUCACUCACUUUUUCAUGUGUCUAAUCUUCAUCUGCUCUGUAAACUCCAUGAAGGCAGAUACUAUAUUUAAUAGUUCUUUUGCACCUAGCAGAAGAGGAAAUCAGUAAUACCUUUAAAAUCUCUGUUUUCAGCACAUAGUUUCACUCAAAAUAUUUUAUUAUUUUUUAAUCAGAGUGAUUCACUAAGGAAAACUAAAGUGACUAAGCCUAUCAUCAGUUCUUCUAAAAUAUGUCUCAUAAAUGAGGUGACCAUAUAGUCUGGUCUCCUUGAGACUGCUCCUUUAUUUUUGUCUGUUAUACAGGGUAGUUAUUAAUAGCUUUUCCUUUCACUCUUAAAAUAUCUAGGUUUAGAUAAAUUAUUUUGUUCAUCCUACCAUAGUUCAUGAUAUCAGAGUCUGAAAUAAUCAAUGAGUCUGACUGACUUUGCAUUCCAAAUGGGUAUCUAUGGGACCUAGAUUAUCCAAUUUUAAAAAAAAGAAGAAAGAAUAUAUAUUUUAGUUAAGGCUUAUGAACUCAUUUGAUAGACUAUUUUAAUAACAUAAAAUGAAAAAAAAAAACAAAAAGUACAGAACUGUAAAUAGAAUACUUGCAGUAAUAUUCCCCCAUUUGUCUCAUUGAAUGUGAUAAAAAAAAUGACUUUAUCAAAAUUCUUUUUUUUUUUUUUGGCUUUUUAGGGAAGCACCCAUGGUAUAUGGAGGUUCGCAGGCUAGGGGUAGAAUCGGAGCUGUAGCCGCUGGCCUAUGCCACAGCCACAGCAAUACCAGAACCGAGCCACAUCUGCAACCUACACCACAACCUCAGGGCAACACCAGAUCCUUAACCCACUGAGUGAGGCCAGAGAUCGAGCCUGCAUCCUCAUAGUUUGCAUCAAAACAAAAUUUAAAUAUGUAACUCAAGAAAUACAAUGUAUUAAUUUCUAAACUCUGUGAAGUUAGCCUAAAAAUGCUUAAGAAAUGAUUUUGUCUUUCAUUUGCUUGAGUUUUAUAGAUUAGAAAGUAUGUAAUAAGUAAAAUACUACAAAAUAAGCAUAGAUCAGCUCAGGGGACUGAGAAAUUUAAUCUAUAAUUUUUUUUCAUUUGCACAUAAAUGUUCAUAAUCUCUUUGCAAACGCUGAAAGCGAAUCUGCACAAUAAUAGUGGUUAACACUGAGAAUUAUUCAGUUUUAGAGCCAGACCACUUUUAAACUUUAGGUCUGUCCUCAAGGCUAAGUAUAAUUAUCCCAACUCCUUAUGCCCAUUGUUUGUCUUAUCCAUAAUGAGUUCUACAACCUCUUUUAUAGUAUUUCAUAAUUAUCUUUAUUUCAGAAUAUGCAUUUUAAAAUAUUUUAAUGGUUUACCAUUAAAUGGACAAUAAGCAUAUGCAUUAUUUUCCAGUACACAAUAUUUUACUGUAAUACUGCACAAUUUUUAACAUCCUUCUUUUGAUGUUUCAGAAAUAUUUUUCUCUCUGAGUGAAGAGUUAAUGACUGAGCAGGAUUUUAAAGCUCCUUUAUUUCUUUUUUUUCUUCUUUCUUUGUCUUUUUGUUUUUUAGGGCCACACCUGCAGCAUAUGGAGGUUCCCAAGCUAGGGGUCCAACUGCAGCUGUAGUUGUCGGCCUACACCACAGCCACAGCAACAUGGGGGCUCCGAGCUGUGUCUGUGACCUACACCACAGUUCACAGCAAUGCCGGAUCCUUAACCCACUGAGCCAGGCCAGGGAUCGAACCAGCAUUCUCUGGGAUGCUAGUUGGGUUUGCUAACUUCUGAGCCACGACGGGAACUCCAAAGCUCCUUUAUUUUUUUGAGCUUUUCUCUCUCUCUCUCUCUCUCUCACACACACACACACACAAUCACAAAUGAGGUGAAUAAAUAAAGCUAUGCUUAAAAUAGUUAACUACAUGCCUAGAUUUAAAGGCUGAUGGCCCAGCUGUUAGUACCAACAAAAAUCCCAGGAAAGCUAUAUGUAGCAUUAUCAGAUUGUGGUCAUGGAAAAGCCAAGCAAUACAAUUGCAUGGUGCUUUUCACUCUGUAGACAGAUGUAGGGCAUGCUCAAAAAUCAGAAAGCACAUUCCUGAGCCUAUGGGUUUAUCACCUUAAAAAAUUUAU
RNAcentral lists this long non-coding RNA (2491 nucleotides) under Sus scrofa (pig). RNAcentral describes it as "lncRNA (ENSSSCG00045004652.1)". The record is from RNAcentral. Lineage: Eukaryota; Metazoa; Chordata; Mammalia; Artiodactyla; Suidae.